Molecule: RNA transcript, 1764 nt
Organism: Podarcis raffonei (Aeolian wall lizard)
Lineage: Eukaryota; Metazoa; Chordata; Lepidosauria; Squamata; Lacertidae
Exons: 2
Source: RefSeq, a predicted model, not a curated record
UGGAACAAUGAGACCACCCAGGCCCACCUUCAGUAGCUCAAGAACUACUCUGGCAGGCCCUGUGGUUCCUGCUCAUCAUACACGUUGCAUCAUAACAAAGGACAACCCGACAGCCCUCCAUCUCCUAUGACAACACAUCUCCUCAUGCAACAAUGACCAAUGUCAACUACUGAUGCCCUACUCCUUCAAACUCAUCCACCACACUCAUGUAACAUCAUGAGGUUGGCAGUUGUUGCAAGUUGUGCAUAGGGAACCAAAGUAUAUCCCAGGGAAGACUCCAACAGGGGCUGCUUCACCACACAGCUGUCAGAAUGGAGAGGGAGUCAGGCAGGUGCUCUUUGUGAGCUUGGCUAGGAAGAAUUAUUGCCGGGCUCCUCGUUCCCAAAACGGGCACCGUCGAUGGCUACUGUCUAUGAAAGUUAUAAGCCUGAGGGGAAGUCGCCAUCUUUGAGCUCACCCAUUCCACGACAGACACCACCAAUAAUCAUUCCGUAUGGCAGCUAUCAGAAUGGAAGGAACAGAGAGCCGGGGCCUCUCCAUCAGCCUAAGGGAACGUCACCAUCAUCAGGCUCACCUGUUCCAGAAAAGACAUCAUCAACAGCCAAUCCCUAUGGCAAAUGCCAGAAAGGAAUGGACAGGGAGCCAGGCCCAAUCCAUGAGUCUGUGUGGAAGCAACCGGCAUUGGGUUACUGCAUAGAACGGCUUCGAUCACUGAUAGUUCCACCUCAUAGUUAUCAGGUGGGUGUGGAGAAAGAUCCAGGUCUUAUCCAUGAGCCUGUAUGGAACCAAGCACCAAUGGACUCCUCUGGAACACAACCAGUUCCACCUGUGGUCAUUCCACCACGCAGGUGUCGGAAGUGGGUGGAUACACCUCUGGGCCCUCUCCACGAGCCCAUCUGGACUCAACCAUCCUUGGGUUCUUCCCUCUUCCUGCAGGCUCCAGCAGUGCCCAUUGACUUUGGCAGCUCUCACAACUGGAAGCGGACACAGUACAGCCACCUCUAUGCACCAGGCUCCUCACAACCAGGACAGACUCCAUCAAUUGCUUCUGUAUCUGGCAGCUGUCAGAAGGGGAAGGAAAGAGCAUUAGGGCCACUUCACGAGCCUCUUUGGGACCAACCGCCACUGGGGUCUUCCCUCCUACUGCAGACUCCACCAGAACCCAUUGACUUUGGCAGCUCUCACAAGUGGAAUGGGAGACUGCAGGACCCGCCAUACGCAGCUGACUCCUCUCAGAAAGAUCUGGUUCCUUCAGUGGCCAUUGCACAUGGCAGCCGCCAGAAGUGGAGGGAGAGGCAGCUGGGCCCACUUCAUGAGCCGCUCUGGGACCAGCCACCACUGGGCUCCUCCUUCCUACUUCAGACUCCACCAGAGCCCAUUGAAUUUGAUGAUUAUCACCAUGGGUGGUGAGACUGCCUGACUAUGUCAAUGGACCUGGCUCCUCACAACCAGAGCAGACUUCACCAGGGACCAUUCCACACUGUAGGUGUCACCUGGGCCCACUCCAUGAGCCUCCCUGGUGUUGGCUGCCUCUGGGCUCCUCCUGCCUAGAACGGGCUUCAUCUGUGGGUGUCAUACCUGAAUGGACUCCACCAGUGAGCAUUUCAGCUGCGAGCCAACGGAAUGGAAGGGAGAGAACCUAGAACUUCUCCACAAACCUGGCUGGAACCAGAACCUGUGGGACUGCUUGCUCCUAGAACCAACUCCAUCAAUGCCUAUUCCAUCUGGUGCCUUUAAAAACAACGAACAUACCUGAGCCUUGCA